GGAGUAAAAUUUCCAACCAAAUUUCAUGUCCAACCUAAAAAGAUAGAGUUAUAGUUUUCGAAUUUGAAAUCAUAAUUUCUGAAAACAGUUUUCUCAUAAAAGAAAUUAAAGAAUGGACAAAAUUAUAAAUAUUUUUAAUUGGUGCACGUUAGGCGUUAGCUUCAAUAAUUUUUUGCGGGUAACUUAAAUAUUUUUGAAAAAGCUAAAAUUUAUGUCAUUUAAACAGGCCCACUGUUUAAAUGGACCAGAGAAAAAAUAUCUUCAUAACAGAUGACGAAAAUAUUGUCAAGAAAAUAAUACUCGAAACCUAAUUCUUCUUUCGCCGCAGUCUUGUACAAAUCCCCGGCAUUGUUAGCUCUGGUAACAUGGAUCGUAAUGCUGCUCCGGUUAAUCCUCCUUCUGUUGCUAUGAUGUUAGAUGAGGAAGAUAAGAUGUUUCGUGAUGCCUUAAUUGAAAGUCAGAAAGAAUAUGCCGCAUUUUUGGACUCAUGGCCUACUUUCUCUGAUCACACUAAGGUUUGGAAAACGCUAUAAAACAGAAGGAAGCUGAAACUAUAUCUAAAAUUGAAAGUUCUCGUGGCCGUAGCCUUACCGUGAACCGCAAGUAAACGUCGACACCUGCUUCAUGAGAUAUUAACUAAAUUAUGUCAGUGCUUCUUUUGAUUUUACUUAGUACUAGUAUUUAAAUGUUUAAUCGUUUCUUUAAUAUGAAACACAUUUAAGAGUUUUGAAUUAGUGUUUUACUAUAGAAAGAGUUUGAAUAAGCGUUCUACUUAUUACACAAGGCGGUGUGGAUAAGAUUAAGAAGCAAUUGAGGGCAAUCAAAUUAAAAGCAUCGGACUGAACCUUGCACUAACAACAAGACUUCUUAUUCACAAAAUCUUCUUGGAAAUUUUGUAUACGUAGGAAGAAAGAGAUUCUCUUACGAACACAGUAGGUAUUGAUGUCCAAACAAUGCUUGGUUUGUGCUGUACUUGCAAUCAUCCUGAAGAGAUCUUUUUAUAUAUCGCUUGAAAAUGAAUCUUCUUCCCAGGGCUAAUUCUAAAUGAGCCUGAAUCAGUUCAAGAAUAUCACACAUCAAAGAUUUAAGAACGUGAAAGAAGAAAAGGGAAAGAUUUUGAACCCGCAGAGAUGAGACCCUGCGGCGCAGAGUCAAGUAAUCAGUUCUUCCCACGGAUACAAAACACUGCCUUAAGAUUUAAGAAGCAUCCAUGUAACCAAACUUGUUUAUAAGAAAUUGAUUUGAUCAUUAACUAGAUUCUUGUACCUUAAGUCUGCUAAGCAUCAUUGUAUGAAAUAUGGCAAAGAAGAACACACAAGAUAUGAAAUUUGGUGCAAGCCUUUCAACGUUAUGUGGUAGCUCAGAUUCGUUUUUGCUAUUCUCAGAUA
Molecule: long non-coding RNA, 1388 nt
Organism: Brassica napus (rape)
Lineage: Eukaryota; Viridiplantae; Streptophyta; Magnoliopsida; Brassicales; Brassicaceae
Exons: 3
Source: RefSeq, a predicted model, not a curated record